Molecule: long non-coding RNA, 2374 nt
Organism: Arabidopsis lyrata subsp. lyrata
Lineage: Eukaryota; Viridiplantae; Streptophyta; Magnoliopsida; Brassicales; Brassicaceae
Exons: 3
Source: RefSeq, a predicted model, not a curated record
GAUUUCCAUUAUUAUGCCAAAUAAGAAGAAGAAGUUUUCCAUUAUUCUCUGCGUUUCUUUCAUCGGAGACUUUGAAAAUUGCUCUAUCAAGUUCGUAUAAGAAGACAGAGACUGGAUUAUUCUCUCAUUGAUCACAGAGAGUUUUCUAGAGGAUACUUUCACACCAAUCUACAUAAUCUCUUCAGAUAUUUUUGAAGACUCAGGAGAGAUUUCAAAGUGUCUAUGGACUUCAGGAUUGGUAUGUGUUUCUCCUUAAACUUGUAUUUAAUUCGUUUUGUAUUGUUACAUACUUAGAUCAUGGCGCAAAUCACAACCAUAAUUGAAAAUAGACUCUGCAUAACAGCCUUCAGGUACGUAAAUCGGUUUAGAUAUAAACUUAAUCAUUAAAAAUUUUGCUUCUCUUACGUACUUUCUUGGUGAUUUUUAGAAACUGUUUGAUGCAAGAAUAUGAAAUUAGUGUAGGAUAAGACAUGUGCUUCUCCUAUGUGUGUAUUCGAUUGGUUGAUAUAGUUACUAAUGUUAGAAAUCAUAAGUUAACAAGCUUUUGCUUUUGAAUACUUGAAGUGAGCAACUGAUUUAAUGGAAUGUAUUUGACAAUAACUCUUUCUUUGUGCAGGGUAGAAAGUGAAAACAUCAACUAAGAUACAAACAAUACUAAGAUACAAACAAUAUCAGAAUUAAAACCUGAAUCUGAUAAAAAUGAAGAAUUUGUUACAUUAAAUGCAACCCUGUCUUAGGUAAACAAUUUAGAUGAAAUUUAUCGAUAAUCGUUGAAAAAUAUACUUUGUAAUUGUUUAGUAUUGUUAUGAAUUAGAUGUGAGAUGAUUUUAUUGGUUGUUUAUGGUCUAUUAUGUGGAUUAUGGUUUAUGUUUUGAGGCUUGAUCAUUUUGGUUGUUGCAUAAGCCUAUGUGCUUUGACUUUGAUUUAUACUUUUUUGUAUUGGGUCGGUACAUAGUAUAUGAUUCGAACUCAUGACUUGAAUUCUUUUGGUUGUUGCAUGAUCUAUGCUUUGAAGCUAUGGCUUUGAAUCCGUUGGUUGUUCUGUGGAUUGAAGCGAUGGCUUGAAUUUGUUAGUUGUCACAUGAUUUUUACUUACUUGAAUAUAUGCAUUGUGUGGUCUAAUAUGCUAACUUGAAUAUGUUCCUUGUGUGGUUUAUGCUUUGAGCUAUGCCUUUAUUCGGUUGUUUGUUGUGUAGUCUUUGCUUACUUGAAUCUGUUGGUUGUUACAUGGUUUUUGCUUACCUGAAUCUCUAUGUUGAGUGGUUUAAUGCUAUCUUGAAUAUGUUGUUUGUUUGCGUGGUCUAUGUGUUAAUUCAAAAAAUAUGCUAUUACUAACCUUGAAAUUUAUGGUGAACUCGAAAAGAGAUGGUUAUUGAUUGUCCUUGGAAGAUUAUCUUACUUGCUUAGUAGUGGUUUGAUGUGAGAUCUUUCUUUUGUUUUGAGUCUCUGAGAAGUGAGAAAAAAAUCCUUAGUGCUCAGUUACAAUCUUCGUUGAUCAACAAUAUUUUGUACAGAUUACUACAUAUUACGAUAAUUCAUGGAUUUACAUUUUAACAAGUUAUAUUUCAUCAUCAAAUUAUCAUGCAUUAUAUGCUCAGUUCAAGUCUUUCAAGUUUGAUUGCUUUGUUAAUUUCCUAAUAGAAUUCACUAGUUUCUGGUUUUGUGUUGCGUUUCUUCGUGUCUGAAGCUAAUAUGGUGUAUGAAGCUAAUUUUGUAACCGUGAAUGAUUCUAGUUCUGGUUUCUUGAAAGAUUUCAAUUUCUUUGUUCUGCAAAGUAACUGUUUCCAGAGAACUUGUUUAGUAUGAAAUACUUGUAAACAGUUUUUAACCUUUGGGGUUAAAAAACUGGCCUUGCGAAAGACUCAUGUCAAUGUUUCCUCCAAAACAUGAGUCUUUGAAAUAGCAAAAUGGUAAUGAUUUUUUCACGGUUCUUCAACAUGUUUAGCUUUCCUUCAAUCUUCCACAGUCUUGCUUUCUUUAGGUACAUUCUUCAGAAUCUCUUGAGAGACCACAAGCUUUUUGUUCUUAGUCUUUUUCUUGAAUGUUCUCUUCUAGUUCUAGUUUUUAUGUAGCUUGUUUGGCUUGAAGUUGUCUUCUUCCUUUAGUAGACGUUAGAAUAUGGUUUAUGGGACAUAUAUAUAAAAACCAAAAACAGAACCAUAGAAACUUUUCAGUGCUUAAUAGUUAGAUGCCCUGUUCUAAAAAUCGGCCGCUUAACCGCUGAUCGGAUGGGGACCGCGGCGAUUUUGUCCAAAUCGGUAAAAAAAAUCGGUGAUUCGAUUUUUGUCCGCCUAGACGGCGCCUAGCCCAAUUUUUAUUUUUUUUUUACAUUUUUUUUUUUGGAUAUAAAAUUCAAAACGUCCCACUUAUGUUC